GAUGAACGCUGGCGGCGUGCCUAAUACAUGCAAGUCGAGCGAACAGACGAGGAGCUUGCUCCUCUGACGUUAGCGGCGGACGGGUGAGUAACACGUGGAUAACCUACCUAUAAGACUGGGAUAACUUCGGGAAACCGGAGCUAAUACCGGAUAAUAUAUUGAACCGCAUGGUUGAAUAGUGAAAGACGGUUUUGCUGUCACUUAUAGAUGGAUCCGCGCCGCAUUAGCUAGUUGGUAAGGUAACGGCUUACCACGGCGACGACGGGUAGCCGGCCUGAGAGGGUGACCGGCCCCAUUGGGCCUGCGCGCCGGCCCAGCCUCCUGCGGGAGGCAGCAGUGGGGGAUAUUGCACAAUGGGCGGAAGCCUGAUGCAGCAACGCCGCGUGCGGGAUGACGUCCUUCGGGUUGUAAACCGCUUUCGCCUGGGACGAAGCGUGAGUGACGGUAAUGGGUAAAGAAGCACCGGCUAACUACGUG
RNAcentral lists this ribosomal RNA (477 nucleotides) under uncultured bacterium. RNAcentral's name for it is "partial 16S ribosomal RNA". It matches the Rfam family "Bacterial small subunit ribosomal RNA", at positions 28 to 507 of the family's 1533-position model. The record is from RNAcentral.